GCCGCUUUAGCUCAGUUGGUAGAGCACAUCAUUCGUAAUGAUGGGGUCGCGUGUUCGAGUCACGCAAGCGGCA
Methyloligella halotolerans is the source of this 73-nucleotide transfer RNA. It matches the Rfam family "tRNA". From Rfam's summary of the family: Transfer RNA (tRNA) molecules are approximately 80 nucleotides in length. Their secondary structure includes four short double-helical elements and three loops (D, anti-codon, and T loops). Lineage: Bacteria; Pseudomonadati; Pseudomonadota; Alphaproteobacteria; Hyphomicrobiales; Hyphomicrobiaceae. The record is from Rfam.